UCAAUGGAUGGCUAGGGUUCCGAGCGCCCCUCGACGAGUAUUCGACGAGAUCGCGUUGUCUGGUCCGAGAGCUAUCGACCCGGCCUGGCGUCAUGCGCAGGCAAGGUUACACGGCGGGAGAAAAGCCCGGGAGGA
This 135-nucleotide small RNA is filed under the name Halotalea alkalilenta. RNAcentral describes it as "Guanidine-I sequence". It matches the Rfam family "Guanidine-I riboswitch aptamer". Rfam says of the family: This family represents a conserved RNA structure found upstream of the ykkC and yxkD genes in Bacillus subtilis and related genes in other bacteria. Lineage: Bacteria; Pseudomonadati; Pseudomonadota; Gammaproteobacteria; Oceanospirillales; Halomonadaceae. The record is from Rfam by way of RNAcentral.